RNAcentral lists this small RNA (278 nucleotides) under Candidatus Halocynthiibacter alkanivorans. RNAcentral's name for it is "5' ureB small RNA". It matches the Rfam family "5' ureB small RNA". Lineage: Bacteria; Pseudomonadati; Pseudomonadota; Alphaproteobacteria; Rhodobacterales; Paracoccaceae. The record is from RNAcentral.
AUUUGCUGGGGGCAGAUGAAAUGGAUGUGACUGUCAAACCCGCCGGCGGUGAGGAUGCGGCCUUCACCGGCAAUAAUUUCUGUGCCUGGGCCAAUGAUGAUAUCUACGCCGGGCUGGGUGUCAGGAUUUCCUGCUUUGCCAAUGGCAUGGAUGCGGCCAUUGAACAGCGCGACAUCGGCCUUGUAGAUGCCAGAGUGAUCCACGAUCAGCGCAUUGGUGAUGACGGUGUCAACUGCGCCGGCAGCACGGGUGACCUGGGACUGCCCCAUGCCAUCGCG